GGGAAUGUAGCUCAGUUGGCAGAGUGCUUGCCUAGCAUGCAUGAAGCCCUGGGUUAGAUUCCUCAGUACCA
Molecule: transfer RNA, 71 nt
Filed under: Dipodomys ordii (Ord's kangaroo rat)
Lineage: Eukaryota; Metazoa; Chordata; Mammalia; Rodentia; Heteromyidae
Rfam family: tRNA
About the family: Transfer RNA (tRNA) molecules are approximately 80 nucleotides in length. Their secondary structure includes four short double-helical elements and three loops (D, anti-codon, and T loops). Further hydrogen bonds mediate the characteristic L-shaped molecular structure. tRNAs have two regions of fundamental functional importance: the anti-codon, which is responsible for specific mRNA codon recognition, and the 3' end, to which the tRNAs corresponding amino acid is attached (by aminoacyl-tRNA synthetases). tRNAs cope with the degeneracy of the genetic code in two manners: having more than one tRNA (with a specific anti-codon) for a particular amino acid; and 'wobble' base-pairing, i.e. permitting non-standard base-pairing at the 3rd anti-codon position.
Source: Rfam by way of RNAcentral